RNAcentral lists this ribosomal RNA (253 nucleotides) under uncultured bacterium. Its description in RNAcentral is "partial 16S ribosomal RNA". It matches the Rfam family "Bacterial small subunit ribosomal RNA", at positions 524 to 776 of the family's 1533-position model. The record is from RNAcentral.
UACAGAGGGGGCGAGCGUUGUUCGGAAUUACUGGGCGUAAAGGGCGCGUAGGCGGCCCGCUAAGUCGAACGUGAAAUCCCCAGGCUCAACCUGGGAACUGCGUCCGAUACUGGCAGGCUUGAAUCCGGGAGAGGGAUGUGGAAUUCCAGGUGCAGCGGUGAAAUGCGUAGAUAUCUGGAGGAACACCGGUGGCGAAGGCGGCAUCCUGGACCGGUAUUGACGCUGAGGCGCGAAAGCUAGGGGAGCAAACGGG